GACGAACGCUGGCGGCGUGCCUAAUACAUGCAAGUUGAGCGCUGAAGGUUGGUACUUGUACCAACUGGAUGAGCAGCGAACGGGUGAGUAACGCGUGGGGAAUCUGCCUUUGAGCGGGGGACAACAUUUGGAAACGAAUGCUAAUACCGCAUAAAAACUUUAAACACAAGUUUUAAGUUUGAAAGAUGCAAUUGCAUCACUCAAAGAUGAUCCCGCGUUGUAUUAGCUAGUUGGUGAGGUAAAGGCUCACCGAGGCGAUGAUACAUAGCCGACCUGAGAGGGUGAUCGGCCACAUUGGGACUGAGACACGGCCCAAACUCCUACGGGAGGCAGCAGUAGGGAAUCUUCGGCAAUGGACGAAAGUCUGACCAAGCAACGCCGCGUGAGUGAAGAAGGUUUUCGGAUCGUAAAACUCUGUUGGUAGAGAAGAACGUUGGUGAGAGUGGAAAGCUCAUCAAGUGACGGUAACUACCCAGAAAGGGACGGCUAACUACGUG
This 497-nucleotide ribosomal RNA is filed under the name uncultured bacterium. Its description in RNAcentral is "partial 16S ribosomal RNA". It matches the Rfam family "Bacterial small subunit ribosomal RNA", at positions 28 to 507 of the family's 1533-position model. The record is from RNAcentral.